Molecule: long non-coding RNA, 2054 nt
Organism: Diceros bicornis minor
Lineage: Eukaryota; Metazoa; Chordata; Mammalia; Perissodactyla; Rhinocerotidae
Exons: 3
Source: RefSeq, a predicted model, not a curated record
CCAGAAGAAUCCAGAGCAACUUCCAGAAUGUGGUAUAACACCUGGUUCACCGAGUUACAGGGAGAAUAGAAAGAAUGGAUGCCCAGAGCCUGGCACAACGAAUGCACUCAACAGAUGGGCUGGGACUACGGUUAGCAUCAAACUCGGAGCCUGAGCCAGCCCUGCGAAACUGGAGCCUCGCCCUCUCGGCGUCGGCGCCCGGAGGCAGCCGCUCGGGGCGUGCACCCCGGCGAAGCCACGUGAAGCCACAGGAUGUGUGGAGAGGAAUGGGGAGCGAGCAACAGCAACCACCACCGGAGAGCAGUGCAGUGCAAGAAGGUUGCACCAGGAGACUGUACCCAUUUGCUGUGUGACCCUGGACGAGUCACUCAGCAUCUCUGGACCUCGGUUGCUACAUCCAUAAAAUGAAGCGUUUGGUUACAUUAUCUCUGGAGUUCUUUCCAAGGCCGAAAUUCUGGGUGUGGAUAAGUUCUGUGAGCUCCAACGAACGUUCAUAUAUGCUCCAGGAGAGCAUGUAAUAGCCCAGAAACGUGUUCAACAUAAAUUGUUUUUGUCUCUCAAGCCCUGUGAGACUGCUGGAAGCUCUGCUUAGCGUCUCUGCUUCUUAGCAUCUGCUGUCUGCUCAGCUUCGCAGUCUCUCCAUCUAGCUACCUAGGAAACGGCAAAUUCAUGGGAAAAAACACAUAGAUCGCUGGGCUCACCCCCUGUGUUUCUCUUCACUCUGGGAUCGUGAUCCUUCAAGUCCUGGCUUCCUGGAUAGCUCUUUGGUGCCCUCUAACAGAUCUGAAUUUUCUUUUUAACAAUUUUAUCCAGAUUUUCUGGUUGUUUAUUGAGAGGAUUGAUCUCUACCGGCUAGUUUGUCAUGGGGAAAAGCAGAAGUCCCUUCGUAUGUUCCUAAGUGAAAGUGGCUGGUCAUUAAAUGGGAUUCUAUUUAUAUGCAAACGUGUAUGUGCUUAUGCGGAAGAAAUAGAGAGAGAGCAAAAGCUAUACACAGCUCUUAUCUCUGGCUAGGUUUUCAUUUUUUACCGUUUAGUUAUAUUUUUCAAUUUUAUACAAUGGACACUGAGAAUGUCCAAACUGGGAUUGACUGUUGAGGUCAUUUACACCCAUUUUAAAAAUGGGGAAACUGAGGUCAAGAACAUUUAAGUUCAUUUCGGUUUAAUAACUAUCGGAUGCUUGCUGUAGGCCAAGAACCACGCUGGGGGCCUCAGGCCAUCUAAAGAAACGUAACGCCUGGUCACUCCUUCCUCCAUCUCAGAUGUCUCCAACAUGUGCUAGACUUUGGGAUAUGAAGAUGAAGAGAACAAGAAUCUGCCCUCCAGAUAUUCUAGCUGGGGAGGAAGAUAUCCAAAUAAACAUCCCAGAAACCAUGUGCCAAAUGCUAAAGUAAUGGUGUGGCAGAGACUGUGGUUUGCCUCUUAAUAACCAUUCUUCCAAAAUCCAACUAAAAGAUAAUAUUUCCCAGCCUCCCUUGCAGCAAGUUGUGGUCAUGUGACUAAAUUUUGGCCAAUGAAGUAUAAGGGGAAGUGUUGUGGGGAUUUCUGGGAAGUCUUUUUAAAGGGAAUAAGCAAACUCUCCUUUCCUUUUUUCUGCUGUUUGAAACGUAGAUGCAAUGGCUGGAGCUUUAGGAGCCAUUCUGACCCGUAAUGUCACAUUGGGAAGGGAACCCCAUACUAGGAUGAUGGAGCAGAUAAAAUAGCCCCAGUCACUCACAUGGAGCUGCUAUAUCAGCCCUGGGUUGUCUAUCUCCAUACUUCUUUUUUUUUUUGAGGAAGAUUGGCCCUGCACUAACAUCUGUUGCCAAUCUUCCUCUUUUUUCUUUUUUCUCCCCAAAGCCCCACACAUAGUUGUGUAUCGUAGUUGUAAAGUUGUAGCUCUUUUAUACGGGACGCCACCUCAGCGUGGCUUGAUGAGCAGUGAGUAGGGUCUGCACCCAAGAUCCGAACCGGUAAACCCUGGGUCGCCAAAGUGGAAUGCGCAAACUUAACCGCUAUGCCACCGGGCCGGCCUCGGUCUCUCCACACUUCUUUUGUAUGAGAAAUAAAUAAACUUCU